AACGAACGCUGGCGGCGUGCCUAACACAUGCAAGUCGUGCAAGAAAGUUCCUUCGGGAGCGAGUAAAGCGGCGCACGGGUGAGUAACACGUAGGUAACCUGCCCCCCGGUCUGGAACAACUAGAGGAAACUCUAGCUAAUGCCGGAUGAGACCACGAUCCCUUCGGGGGUUGCGGCCAAAGAUGGCCUCUACUUGUAAGCUAUCGCUGAGGGAUGGGCCUGCGGGCCAUUAGCUUGUUGGUGAGGUAACGGCUCACCAAGGCUGUGAUGGCUAGCUGGUCUGAGAGGAUGACCAGCCACACUGGGACUGAGACACGGCCCAGACUCCUACGGGAGGCAGCAGUGGGGAAUAUUGCGCAAUGGGCGAAAGCCUGACGCAGCGACGCCGCGUGGGUGAUGAAGGCC
Molecule: ribosomal RNA, 404 nt
Filed under: uncultured bacterium
Lineage: Bacteria
Description: bacterial SSU rRNA
Rfam family: Bacterial small subunit ribosomal RNA
Source: RNAcentral